Molecule: long non-coding RNA, 1287 nt
Filed under: Nicotiana tabacum (common tobacco)
Lineage: Eukaryota; Viridiplantae; Streptophyta; Magnoliopsida; Solanales; Solanaceae
Description: long non-coding RNA (NTAB_LNC002416)
Source: RNAcentral
CCAAUCUCAUCUACGAUGAAGGCUCGUCAAACUGAUUAUCUAUACCUGCAGGCAUGAAUGCAGUGUCCCCAACAAAAGGAACGUCAGUACGAAUAAUGUACUGAAUAUGUAAGACAUGUAAAUAAGUAUAUACAGGACAUGGAAUAAACCGUGGAGUAAAUGACUCAGCCUAUAAAUUUGGAUGGCUCUGUAAAUCAAAAUCAUGAAAUAUCUUUAAUGCCAUGCACAUGCAUAUAAAUGUCAUGUAAUGCAUAGGUCUGUACGUACAUAACAUCAUCAAGCCUCUAAGGGCAUUCCAUCAUAUCAUUUCAGCCACUUUGGGCAAUAUCAUCAUCGUAUACCAGCUGAUCAGGUGGUGGUGCGUAUAUAACGCCAUAACUAUUUUUCCAUAUCCCAUAUACAUAUAUUUACAUAUAUACGCGUAUAUAACGCCAUUUGGUGCCGUUGCGGGAAAAAUCAUCAAUGUAUACCAGCUGAUCGGGUGGUGGUGCGUAUAUAAUGUCGUAACCUUUUCCCAUAUUUCAUAUACAUAUAUACGCGUAUAUAAUGCCGUCUAAGUCAUGGGCACAUGCAAAUGAGUGCAAUGCAUGAGAAGUACGCUAAUAAAACUUCUCGGAACGUCAAAAGACCAUUAUAGCUCUAAUUAAUAUCAUUUUAGAGGAAUAAAUAACAUAGACAUCCUUAACUGUUAUGAGUAGAAACACUUAUAAAAUAACAUUACGUUUACGUAUCGUUGCGUGGAUCAUGCCAAAAGAAGCAAUAAUUAGCCUUAACAUACCUGAGAUGAUUCUCUUGACAAUACCUCUAAUACAUGUCGUUUGCGAAAAUACAUAAUGGCGGAUCGAAUUAGGGAGAAAUCCAUAUGAUGUUCUUAAGAAGGAUUAUACUAUACUUCCUUAUAAUUGCCAAAUCUUACAUUCUGAUAUAUAUGACUCUCACGUUCUAAGAAUUGAUAUGUGACUCUUUCUUUAAUUUUCACUCAAUAACUAAAAAUAUCAAACUUGAGGAACAUAGGAGGAACUAGUAUAGUAGGGAUCAGGGAUGAGAUCCGACAACCCGACCCAGUAGUCCCAUUACCAACAUAACCUCCACUUUGUAAAAAUUCAACAAUUAACACGUCUGUUGAUAUAUCAAUGAGCAUAUUCUCCAAAAUAGUUGGAGAACAAAAAAAAAUCAACAUUAGCAUUAAAAGGAAGAUGAGUGGGCAAGCCAAUCAACUCCAAUGAAAGAAAGAGAAAAAGAUAAAGAACGGAGAAUUUUAAAAGGGAAGGAGACGGUGGUUUUUGG